This 1437-nucleotide ribosomal RNA is filed under the name Enterococcus durans. RNAcentral's name for it is "bacterial SSU rRNA". It matches the Rfam family "Bacterial small subunit ribosomal RNA". The record is from RNAcentral. Lineage: Bacteria; Bacillati; Bacillota; Bacilli; Lactobacillales; Enterococcaceae.
UGCAAGUCGUACGCUUCUUUUUCCACCGGAGCUUGCUCCACCGGAAAAAGAAGAGUGGCGAACGGGUGAGUAACACGUGGGUAACCUGCCCAUCAGAAGGGGAUAACACUUGGAAACAGGUGCUAAUACCGUAUAACAAUCGAAACCGCAUGGUUUUGAUUUGAAAGGCGCUUUCGGGUGUCGCUGAUGGAUGGACCCGCGGUGCAUUAGCUAGUUGGUGAGGUAACGGCUCACCAAGGCCACGAUGCAUAGCCGACCUGAGAGGGUGAUCGGCCACAUUGGGACUGAGACACGGCCCAAACUCCUACGGGAGGCAGCAGUAGGGAAUCUUCGGCAAUGGACGAAAGUCUGACCGAGCAACGCCGCGUGAGUGAAGAAGGUUUUCGGAUCGUAAAACUCUGUUGUUAGAGAAGAACAAGGAUGAGAGUAACUGUUCAUCCCUUGACGGUAUCUAACCAGAAAGCCACGGCUAACUACGUGCCAGCAGCCGCGGUAAUACGUAGGUGGCAAGCGUUGUCCGGAUUUAUUGGGCGUAAAGCGAGCGCAGGCGGUUUCUUAAGUCUGAUGUGAAAGCCCCCGGCUCAACCGGGGAGGGUCAUUGGAAACUGGGAGACUUGAGUGCAGAAGAGGAGAGUGGAAUUCCAUGUGUAGCGGUGAAAUGCGUAGAUAUAUGGAGGAACACCAGUGGCGAAGGCGGCUCUCUGGUCUGUAACUGACGCUGAGGCUCGAAAGCGUGGGGAGCAAACAGGAUUAGAUACCCUGGUAGUCCACGCCGUAAACGAUGAGUGCUAAGUGUUGGAGGGUUUCCGCCCUUCAGUGCUGCAGCUAACGCAUUAAGCACUCCGCCUGGGGAGUACGACCGCAAGGUUGAAACUCAAAGGAAUUGACGGGGGCCCGCACAAGCGGUGGAGCAUGUGGUUUAAUUCGAAGCAACGCGAAGAACCUUACCAGGUCUUGACAUCCUUUGACCACUCUAGAGAUAGAGCUUCCCCUUCGGGGGCAAAGUGACAGGUGGUGCAUGGUUGUCGUCAGCUCGUGUCGUGAGAUGUUGGGUUAAGUCCCGCAACGAGCGCAACCCUUAUUGUUAGUUGCCAUCAUUUAGUUGGGCACUCUAGCAAGACUGCCGGUGACAAACCGGAGGAAGGUGGGGAUGACGUCAAAUCAUCAUGCCCCUUAUGACCUGGGCUACACACGUGCUACAAUGGGAAGUACAACGAGUCGCGAAGUCGCGAGGCUAAGCUAAUCUCUUAAAGCUUCUCUCAGUUCGGAUUGUAGGCUGCAACUCGCCUACAUGAAGCCGGAAUCGCUAGUAAUCGCGGAUCAGCACGCCGCGGUGAAUACGUUCCCGGGCCUUGUACACACCGCCCGUCACACCACGAGAGUUUGUAACACCCGAAGUCGGUGAGGUAACCUUUUGGAGCCAGCCGCCUAAGGUGG